UGAUAUCAUUACCCAAAAGAGGAGGAAGAAAGAAAAGGGCAACUUGAUGUUCAAACCCUGAGGGCAAGGUAAAAAUGUGGAAAGACAGAGGACCCGGAGUAAAGAUCCUUUGGCUCUGGACCAUCGGAACUGCCGCCGUUUUGGUGACUAGUGUGGUGAGGACUAGGCUGAGAGACAUGGAUCAGCAGUUCAUGAACGCUACUCAACAACCGCCGAACCCUGAAGCCACUGCUGACUCCGAAAUCCUCAUUGACGACAACCCACCUACUGGAAAAUCCAUGAAAGUAGACCAGUUAUAGUAACUCUCUCCAUGUCAGAAGCUCCUUGAAAUUGGAGUUGCAUGUCACCUGUUCGACGAAAUGUCAGUGUAAUAACAAUCGUCCUUUUGUCCAAGAAUUUCAAAAUUUCUUUUUCCUCGACUCUUUUCAUAUUUUUUUUUUGUGGGAUAUUUAUCUUGCUGAAGAAAACUAAAGUGGGUUAAUCUUAACCAGGCUUCAGCUUCUCUUUUUUACAA
This is a long non-coding RNA of Ipomoea nil (Japanese morning glory), 514 nucleotides long. RefSeq lists it as uncharacterized. The transcript has 2 exons. NCBI's taxonomy places the organism in Eukaryota, Viridiplantae, Streptophyta, Magnoliopsida, Solanales, Convolvulaceae. The record is from RefSeq and is a predicted model, not a curated record.